CCUGAUGACCAUAGCGAGUUGGUCCCACCCCUUCCCAUCCCGAACAGGACCGUGAAACGACUCAGCGCCGAUGAUAGUGCGGAUCCCCGUGUGAAAGUAGGACAUCGUCAGGC
Molecule: ribosomal RNA, 113 nt
Filed under: Ideonella aquatica
Lineage: Bacteria; Pseudomonadati; Pseudomonadota; Betaproteobacteria; Burkholderiales; Sphaerotilaceae
Source: RNAcentral